UAAAUCAGAACUGUUAAAGCAUACUUGAGGUACACUCUCUGUCGGCAAAAAACUCGUCUGGGGGAUUUCACCAAGUACUUCCAGGCCUUCUGUGCCCGUGUCUUCGGUGUCUUUUAUCGUAGGUGUUUGAUCCACUUCUGGAGCCAGCGGACCUUGAGGGGUUCCAAAAACAGUGGUAAAUAUCUGUCUAUGGCAUUCACCGCAGAGAUAAAAAUAGGUGAAAUGGCCCUCAUAUAAGAGCUUGUGCACCAUGGCAUCUGGUAGUACUCGCUGCACAAAAUCGCUCAUUGCUGGAGGGACAACCUUAUCAUCCAUUCCCUGUUUGACGUUGGCAAUUCAAGAUGCAGCAAAAGAAAGUCGCCAGAAUUAAUAUGGUGCUCAAGUUCUUGUUUUCAACAGAACAAGCAUAAAAUGGACAUCUUGCCUUUGUACAGAAAAUAGUUGUAAUAAACAGAAAUGACUUAUUCGUUAAACAGUUUGAGAAUUUGGCACGCCAAUUGCCCAAUGUCAAAGCAAUCAGGGUACAGGAGACUGCAAAAUUCAAAGAAUUUGCUGAUCAUAGUCAUCGUACUACAAAAAGCCUUCACAAGCAAUUCGUUUAAUGGACUUCUAUCAACAUGGUUUAAAAUCUUAUGACAAAAUAUACCAGUCACAACAGACAUGAAGUCAUCAAUUGCAUCAAAACAAAGGGAACUAAAAUCCUCAGAAAACAGUCACAUUCCUGAGAUAGAUGAGAUUCUUUUCAUGGUAAAGUCAAUUAAAGCAUACUUGAGUAGCAAUGAUGCAGACAAUACACUCACCUGCCAUAUGUGAAUUGGACCAAGGAAUCCAUUCAUACUUUCAUCUUCUUGUUCAUAUAUGGAUUUGAGCCAAACCAGAAAGCCUUUUCCCUUGUGUUUCUUUUUUACUUUGAGUUCAGUAAGUUUGAAACCCCAAUUUGAAACCUGUAAGACGGCUUCCUGUACAAAAGGAUUUGCAUUCCCUUGUCGAACAGAUUCUUCCACAUCUCUUUGCCAGGACUCUUUGAACAGUGGAUGCUCUAUCAAUGCUCUAUCCUAGAAAGAGCCAAGAUUUGAGUAAAGAAUGUCCAAAAAGGAAGUAAUUUACCCUCCUAUGCAAAUUUUGUUUGAAUAGCAUUAUAGUAUAAAAAUUAAAUCAAUAAACAAUUAAUUUUAUGGUUUCCAUACUAAAUCUUACCACUAUUCUUCAAUUAGUUUAACUAAAACAAAUCUUGCAAACAAAAAGAUGUCAAUGCAUUUCAAACAUCAUCAGAGUCAAAAACAGAAACCAUAGUCAAGAUUACUCACCCUAUUUCCAAGUGCCAAUGAAAGCCACUUGUCAAUUUGACCAUGUUUCCCAGACAGGAAGCUUCUACGAUAGAAAUAAGGGAGUAAUCUUGGAAACUUUUUAGCUAACGUAUACAUUAGCUUCUUCUUUCCAGUCCAUUUUGCCCACAUUCUACGCCUCUCUUCCUUAGUCAUACUUGGGUCAUAUGGAUUUACCAUCGGAGCAACCAUGAUAGCACCUUCACGUUAAAAUCAAGGCAGGGUCAGAACCUCAGAACUGAGAAAGGAGGAAAGGCAUUUAAUUCAUCUCUCAUCAUCAGGGUAUGAGUAUUGUUCUGGUGACCGUUCAAAGCAGCCAUCAAUACCCACUGGUACUCAUGAAACAUAGCAUUUAUCAGUACAAUUCAUGUUGGAAUGUGCAUACAGAUGCAGAACCAUGAAAAAUAAAAAAAAUAACAGCAUAGGUAGACAUUAAAUUAUGGAUAAGCAUCCAAUGCUCCAAUAAUCUGGAAAAAACUAGCGAUCUCUCCGGCUUCACAUUAACCUUAUUAGAACUGGGGUUACCUAUGUAGUACCUUUGUCCAUUCAGUCCUCUUGCAGGAAAAGUUGCCCACUACAGAAAAAUUUAUGCAUCCUUAGGGUAGUGUAGGAUAACACUAAAUGACGAAUAACUUUUCAAUUUUUCUCUUCUGAAGAUAAAAUCAUCUUCAUGGCUGACUUCAAGAAUUAAAAGUUCAAAAUAGAUAAGUACCCUUAAACAGAAAUAUGCAAUUCAUUGAGACCGUUCAUGAAAGUAUGCAAAAGUGCAAAUUCUGUAACUUAAAGUCCAAAAUUGACAAAUCAGCCUACUUGAGCUUAAACCAGUUACUUCAUAAGAGUAAACAUGAGAUCAUGUUCAAACAUCAAUCAAUCAUGCAAAGGAUGAACUGACCUGCCACCCUAUCAGGAAUGAAUCGAAGGGCAGCCCAAGCAUGUAUGCUCCCACCAGAAAAUGCCAACACCCAGAAUUUGUCAGUGAUAUUCACACUAUAUGAUAGAUGUACCAUAUCCAGAGCCGAUGAUUCAAGGCCACGAUCAGGAUCAGGAUCGCUUUCCCCAAAUCCUGGAAGAUCAAAUGUCACAAGCCGAAUACCGAAUUCUUGCAGAAGGGAAUCCCUAAUACCUGGUAUUCCUGACAUAAUAAAAUUUUGGAAACAAACAAGUGAAAUGUGAGGUUAAACCACUCUUUGCUCAUCAGAUCCUUGGUUAAGAAUGUGUUGCUUCAUCUCUAUAGAAUCUACCUGCCAAACGAGAUGAAAGAAAAGAAUGUGGCACAAUCACAGAAUAUCUAGCCUGGUCAGCAGGGACACCUUGCUCCUUAUAAGCCAAAUAUCUACCGUUUGGAAGCAAUAUACGAGUAGCACUUGGAGGGUGUAUGCACAUUUUCUUCACCAAUGGAGUAGAAGUGUCGUGAUCAGUAUUUACAAUCAAUACUGCAGAUAGAAAGUGCAGUCAGAAUGAUCCAGCAGAAAUAGGAAGAAGAAUGAAAAGCAGGUGUGCACUAGGUUUCAGGAUGAAAAAAUUAUCUUCAUCGCCUCAUUCGUUUGACAACUAUAUAUAUGAUUGCUAACUGUGAAGUAGAAUCUAUGUUUAAUUGCUAACCACCAUUAGAAUAUAUCAAUCUCUGUUAAUUGUAAUUAGCACGUUUGAAAAUUUUAAUUGAUUACCAAGUAGAUAUUAAUAUCCAAACUGCAUUUCAUCAAUAUAAAUCAAUCCUCAAGAUGACAAGUUCUCCAUGAAUUUCUUUAUCUCGCUCCAAUAUUCCUUAGGAAGGUAAUCUCGGUUUUAUUUCUCUGUUGAUAGGCUUUGUUGUCCUGUCAAACUAAAAUUCGAAUCAUCUGUAAACCUCAGCCAAUCUUGCGUUUUAUCUGUAUACCUCAAACAUGUACAAACCUGUGCUGUGCAGUCACAUGCAUGUCCUAAAUCAAACUCAGCUGAGCAAAAUCAGGAUAAAAUAUAGCAUGUCAUCGCAAAACUUACAAUUACGUGGAUAUGCUACAUUACUUUCACAACUUAAAUAUUAUUGUAUAUUAUACUUGUUUACUCUGCUGAUUUUGAAACAAAAGAUAAUUACAAUCUCAAAACAAUUUAAAGCAGAAAAUCAAUCAAAGAGAAUCACUGUAAAACACUGUACCGGUAAAAGCGAGAAGUAAAACGAAAAGAAUCACAGUCCACGAUUGGACAGGAUCGCGAUCCUCGGGCAGAUACUCAUUCAAGAACCUUAAUUUUCCACAGAUUCUCUCACACGGUCCUCUCAACUUCUUCACAAUCACAGAAUCUUCCCUCACAAUGCUCUGCUUCACUACGUCUCUCACUCCCUUCCCGAACUCCACACUCAUCUCCGCAAAUCCUUUGGCAAACUCCACCACGUGAUACCUCCAGUCCUCCUCGGCCGCCUUCUUCGUGGCCGCCGCAGCAGUGCUCGUGGAAUAGUAUGAUCGAUGCGGUGGUCCGGUGUCGUCCUCCAGUCUCACGAACUCGUCUCCCCAUGUUGACCUUGACUCAUUGACUUCCGACAUUCCCAAAUUUUCAAAAUUCCGGUACAAUUCCAACUCAACUUCGCCGCUCCUGAAUGGCGUAAUCCUCACGCCUCCUCAAAAAUUCAUACUUUCCAUCAGUGCGUGUAGUGUGUGUAUUUGCUUAUAUAGAAUUGUAUCAGUAUGAGAUGUAUAUAAUGACGGUGUGUAUAGACAUAGGUGGGGAUGUAUCUAUAUAUGGAAAUGCAUAUACCAUAUCAAAACAAAGGUGUCAUUUUCUACUUUGCUGAUUCUUUUUAUCUUUAAUUUUCGGUUUGUUUGUAUAAGCCAUUGGAGGGAGAGAGCCGGAGACUAGCAAGCCGUGGAGGCUUUUAACUGGGUUAGGAAAGCGGAGAAUGGAGAGGGACUGGAGUGUUAUUUGGAGAAAGUGUUGGGGUUAAUGGAAAAAAGGGACAGAGUGAAGCUGGGGAGAUAAUGGAGAGUGGAGAUGUGGCCACGUAAGUGAGGAGAUGAGAGUGAGAGACAAAGGCAGUGACCCGGAGUGACAGCGGUUGUUGGUGGUGGUGGGGACGUGGUUAGUUAACGACUGUUACUUGAGAUAGCCGGUUGCCCGCACCGGAAUCUUAAAUUUGGUACACAUAAAAAUUUGCCCACAAAUCUACCAUGAUUAGGGUGAUAUAGUACUAUCAAACGAUGAGAUUUUGUGCGUUUGGAUUUUGGCCUCAUUAGCUGUAAGUUGAUAUUUUGACAUUGAGGACAACUUUCUAAUAAUUGAUCAAGACUUGAACUUGAAGGAUGAAAUUAGACCAAACAAAUUUGGUAAGAUGCAAUGGAUCAGUAUAUUUUUCUAAAUUGUCAGUGUAUCACUUACAAAUUUAGAUGCAUGACACAUUAUUUCAAUUUGAAUUUGAACACUAAAUUUUACAUAUGUAACAUGCAUCUAAAUCCUCUAGUAUAUACAGUUAUAAAGAGUUAUAAAGGUAAAUUUUGAAGUUUGAAAAGGUAUUUUUUUAACAUUACAGACCAGUACAAAAAAGAAAUCAAGGAAUGAACAGUUCAAAAAUGUAAAAUCCAGUGUGUUUAGAUAGUAAAUUAUUUGGAAUAAUUUUUUUAAAAAAAAUAUUAUAACAUUUUUUCUGACGUGAUGUAUGUAAAAUAAAAAUAUGAUUGAAAAAUGCGUUGAUAAUGCAAGCAAAUAAAUUUAUACUAAUAAACCACUGACCAAACAAAUUUGGAACGAAUGGUGUGUGCUCCUUGUUGAGUGGCUAUUGGUUUUCUAAAUUUACUGAAUUUGGCACUGUUAUAAUAUUCAAUUUUUAAGAACUAAAAUCAGCAUUUGUAAAAGUACAAAUUACUCUUAGAGGCUUAUAAGUUAAGAUUCACCCGUUCACUGUGUCCGGAUUGUACUUAGAAGAGAAAAAAGAGGCCAAGUUGAAAAUUAGUCUCAAAUUUUUAUGCACAUGGAAAGGUCGAGGAGUGGGCAAAAAGUCUUCGUCAGUCUUUCUACCAUAAACUGUUGACAUUGAUGAGCGAGCAUUUUAACAGGGACGCGUAAGCAGCUUUCGUUAGCAAUUACUAAUCCUUUCUUUCUCAGCAAAAGACAAUAGAUGUUAAGGUAAGGUACGCCCCCACCGUCACCGCCGGCAUGCACAUCAGCACAUGCAGGAAGACAGCAGGUUUAUUUAUGGUAAGCGAUGCCUGUCCGGGGUAAGCCAAGCAGGGGCGGCUGGACUGAAUCAUUGGAGGAUUGUAUAGGCAAUUGUUUAGAGGUUGGCGUGAGAUUUUAAAAAGAGGGCCGCAUGCUGAUGUUGCCAAAUAUCUAGACCUAAUUCUUUUUGCAUUAUUCGUCAGUUACUAAUCUAAUCCUACUUAUAAACAACAGGAUUCAUUACUAGGCCGAUAAUUGACUUCUAAAACUCCCAUGGUUGGAAAAGAGAAAUAGUAGUGUAGUGUAGUGUAGUCCCGUGGCCUAAUAAUUGCACGUGAAUCUCAAUACUUCCAACCCAUAGUUUAGCCUGAUUUGAGUGGCAGUGGUCCAAACUACAAUGCCACUUGCCUAAAUGAUGCAAUCCAUGGACUGUAAGCAUCAAAGAGAAUUGCCAAAAAACAAGGGGUCGGGGUGUUGGGGGAAAAAGUACGAGGAUGUGGCGCACGUACCGGUCAGGCCACCAUGAACUCAUUUCCAUACUCAACAACUACGGAGCAUUUCAGUUGCGAGAAAAGCAGAAAACAUGAUUGCUAAUACAGAAAACCAACAACCCAUUUUUUUUUUUUUCUUUCUGACAUUUUCUCACGAAAGUAAGAAUUUUUUGCAAAUAAACCUAACUCCCCCGGCCCAUUUAACUCUUUGCAAAUAAACCUAACUCCCCCGGCCCAUUUAACUCUGUGAAUUCCAAUUUCUUUCUGCCGGUUGAUAUAGAUAGUCACGUGACACACAUUGCUCCAGUAAUUGUUUACCUCCGGCAUCAUGAUUCCUGACAGUGAUUUGAUAACUUGGAUCUCCUGUAUCACUACUUAAUGCUUCGCCUCAGAAAUCUAGCCACUACUUCUUUAUGCCUAGAAGCCUGGAACUCCAACACCAUUAUCCACAGGCAAUUGAGGCUGAGAAACAGUAGUGUAGUGCUUAUGAACAAUCAUUACGUCAUCCAUAUGCACCAAGUGUAAAAACCAGAAAGCAAUCGCACGAAAGAUGCAUUAUCUAAAGUUGGAGAACCCCACUUUUUGGAGUACAAAAUACAUCUUCAGUAGACAUUCUUCAAAUGCCCAAGUAAUAAUAAGCCGAUUUGUUUUUCUUUUUAUUCCUACGGAUGAAGUCAAAAAGCUUAAGCAGAAGCCGAGUCUCCAAUCAAUUCUAGUAUCCCCAGUAGUCGUUGCGGAUUUCAUCAUCAAACUUCUUCCUGAGUUCUGGGUGCUUCUCAAAGUACUCGUCUGCUGUCAUGGUACUGAGUUUCUUCUGUAAAAACCAUUGUAGAAGAUUUGAUAAACGAGAAAUAACGUACCAUGCAAGCCUUUGCUUCCACAGAGCCAAGUAAGAAAUCAAGUACUAUGGAGAGAAAAGAGGAAGGGGUGGAUCUGAAACAAAGAAAGUCCAACCUUCAGCUCUUGAACUUCAGCAAUUUCCUUCUCCAGUCUUUCAGACUCUUGGAGUGAUUGUUGCUCAGUGUCUUUGAGCUCCACCAACUGCAAGAAAUGAGAGAAUAUGAAGUUCUUCUUUUACAGUGCUAUCAAACAUGCAUAUCAACACCCAAUAACAAUUUAACUUUUAACUGUAUUUACUAAUAAGAAUCGACUUCAGCCAUAACAAUUUAACUCUUUCUCACCAAAGCAUCAAAUUUCGGCUUGUACUCUGGAGUAACCGUAUCAACGUAUUUUGGAAUCUCAACGCCUAAAAAAAGAAAAAAUCCAUCAAUAAUUUUAGACCAAAUCUCAGAAAAAAAAUUGGUAAUCAAUAUACUCUUGGUUUCCAAAUGAAAACUAUCUUUUGGUUAAAAACAAAAGCAGUACUACAUUUUUUUAUAACUCACAUCAAUACCCUCAACAUGCAAACACAUUUAUUGGUAAUAGAACUAGUUAGAGCCCAUAUGAGAGAGUGAUGUCAUUUCGUUUUCUACUUUUCAAAUUCGAAGUUCCAAGGUUGAUCUUUAUCAAAAUGACCGAUACUGCAUAAAGUAAAUGCAUGAACCUAUGAACUAAGGUUGCCAGAAAGAAGCUAGGUAAGUAGAUGGAUCAUACUCUCAUAUGCCUCUUUGUACAUAUCAACCAAUUUAGAUCCAAUCCCCUUUCUGUAAAAUUCCCAGUCUAUGGGCUCUGGUUCCUGCAUGAUUUAGAAAUUUCCAAAUGAAAACUAUCUUUUGGUUAAAAACAAAAGCAGUACUACAUUUUUUUAUAACUCACAUCAAUACCUCAACAUGCAAACACAUUUAUUGGUAAUAGAACUAGUUAGAGCCCAUAUGAGAGAGUGAUGUCAUUUCGUUUUCUACUUUUCAAAUUCGAAGUUCCAAGGUUGAUCUUUAUCAAAAUGACCGAUACUGCAUAAAGUAAAUGCAUGAACCUAUGAACUAAGGUUGCCAGAAAGAAGCUAGGUAAGUAGAUGGAUCAUACUCUCAUAUGCUCUUUGUACAUAUCAACCAAUUUAGAUCCAAUCCCCUUUCUGUAAAAUUCCCAGUCUAUGGGCUCUGGUUCCUGCAUGAUUUAGAAANNNNNNNNNNNNNNNNNNNNNNNNNNNNNNNNNNNNNNNNNNNNNNNNNNNNNNNNNNNNNNNNNNNNNNNNNNNNNNNNNNNNNNNNNNNNNNNNNNNNNNNNNNNNNNNNNNNNNNNNNNNNNNNNNNNNNNNNNNNNNNNNNNNNNNNNNNNNNNNNNNNNNNNNNNNNNNNNNNNNNNNNNNNNNNNNNNNNNNNNNNNNNNNNNNNNNNNNNNNNNNNNNNNNNNNNNNNNNNNNNNNNNNNNNNNNNNNNNNNNNNNNNNNNNNNNNNNNNNNNNNNNNNNNNNNNNNNNNNNNNNNNNNNNNNNNNNNNNNNNNNNNNNNNNNNNNNNNNNNNNNNNNNNNNNNNNNNNNNNNNNNNNNNNNNNNNNNNNNNNNNNNNNNNNNNNNNNNNNNNNNNNNNNNNNNNNNNNNNNNNNNNNNNNNNNNNNNNNNNNNNNNNNNNNNNNNNNNNNNNNNNNNNNNNNNNNNNNNNNNNNNNNNNNNNNNNNNNNNNNNNNNNNNNNNNNNNNNNNNNNNNNNNNNNNNNNNNNNNNNNNNNNNNNNNNNNNNNNNNNNNNNNNNNNNNNNNNNNNNNNNNNNNNNNNNNNNNNNNNNNNNNNNNNNNNNNNNNNNNNNNNNNNNNNNNNNNNNNNNNNNNNNNNNNNNNNNNNNNNNNNNNNNNNNNNNNNNNNNNNNNNNNNNNNNNNNNNNNNNNNNNNNNNNNNNNNNNNNNNNNNNNNNNNNNNNNNNNNNNNNNNNNNNNNNNNNNNNNNNNNNNNNNNNNNNNNNNNNNNNNNNNNNNNNNNNNNNNNNNNNNNNNNNNNNNNNNNNNNNNNNNNNNNNNNNNNNNNNNNNNNNNNNNNNNNNNNNNNNNNNNNNNNNNNNNNNNNNNNNNNNNNNNNNNNNNNNNNNNNNNNNNNNNNNNNNNNNNNNNNNNNNNNNNNNNNNNNNNNNNNNNNNNNNNNNNNNNNNNNNNNNNNNNNNNNNNNNNNNNNNNNNNNNNNNNNNNNNNNNNUUCAACUUUUUAACCUUCCUAUUCUAAGUUAGCCUUACCAUCUUCCUUUUUUAUAUAUGUCCAAACCCUGAAAUCAAUGUGUUUUUUGUUAUGAUUCUGGUUAAUUAUGUUUGGAUUUUAGCUGAAUGAAAUAGAGCACUAUCAAUUAGAGAACAGAAUAUUUUUCGUGGAUAAUUAUCAUUUUAGUCUUUAUUUAUUCAGAUUGUUGCCUGACCUUCGAUUGUAUGGUUGCAGGUUGUCAAAAAGGUCAAAAUCCAUGUUGCAUCCGUUGAAGACACAUGGGCUGUGAAGUUUAUGAAUUUUAUACUUGGGGCAAAUCAGUUGCUAUUUGAUGGACUGACGCGUGAAUUGCCUUUGUAAGAUUCUCGUGUAUUUUAUGCAUUUUAUGAUUUCUUCUGCCCCUUUCCUCUUGUGUGCAUUCUCAGUUUCUUGCACACCAACACACGUUCGCACAAACAUGCACCUUGUUGUGUGCAAAGCUCAUGCUUCCAGACACUGCAUUUCAUUUAUUGGGUGAUUCUGGAGUAUAAUAGGUCUUCUUGUGAUCUGAUGGCCUGGUAAUACCACCAGAGUAAGCUUUGAAGAAGGUCUAUGGAUGGUGGGAGUAAUUGAUGAAAUUCGAAUGCCUGUUACAGAAACUGAAAGAUAUCCUACAUUAGUUGAUACAAAAACUCGUGCACGAGCAAAGCUUCCUACUGAAGCACAACAGAGAAAUGGAAGGUACUAUCAAGUGUGGUUUUUGGUCAGGUUGCUGAGGAAGAUACCAGCUAAUAGCAUUGCUUCUUGAAAUUGAAGCAAUACAUUUUUCUUGGACGUUGAUAAAUUGGAUAGUGUUCUAGUCCUGUAGUAAAAUUUCAAUUUACAUAUCAUUGUGGCUCAGUAUAAGGGAUUACCUGUAAUAUACCCAUUUAUGCACUUUGAGUGCUUAUUUUUGUGUUUAAUUGAACAUCUUAUCCUUUGCAUUUAUGCAGACUCUGAAUGAUUUGGUGGCAUACUAUCGAAAUACUUGUUGUAUGCUGCCUCCAGCUCAGGACCAACUGUUACUAAGGUUGGUUAAGGAUUUCCAUGUGUUGUUAGAUAAGCGCUAUAUGGACUGCCGAAUUUUUUUCUCCAUCUCCUAGCAUGGCUUCUGGUGAUGAAUUUUAACCAAUUUCAAAAGAAGACAGCACUGACGUUUCGUAUGAUCUGUGCUCUUCAUUUCCUUUUCAUGUUUUCUGACCUCCUUCCCUCCACAUCUUUCCCAAAAUUUUCCACUUUCAGCAUGUUUUACAACAAUAAAGUCCAGGUCUAGUUUCUGCCAUUUGCCUAUAUUGAUGAUUAUUCUGAGCGCUAAGAAAAAAGAUUUGAGGCUAUGUCCACCCAGUGACCUUAGGCAGGCUAAAAGUUUACAGGUGCUUUUCUUUUUCCUAGAAGAUAUUUCAUUUGCCCUUUAUCAAGUGCCUACUAGUAUAUAGAAGAAGUUGAGACUAAAAACGAAGAGGGACUUGCAGAAAUUAAGCUUGUCACUUAUCCUCAACAUUGUACAAUUGAUGUUCACUUGUUCCUUAUCCAAAAGUUUGCCUUUUUUUAUUUGUCUUUUUGGGUUAACGCUUUUAAAAGACUUUCAUUUGGAAAACCACAAAUCACUCAGGGCACUCUGCGGUAGUCCAUUUUACACUAGCAAGAAUAUUGUCUUCUACAGGUAUGAAUACCAAGAAGAUCAAUCUUUGAUCGGUGAAGAUCAGUUUGCUUAUGAUGCUGAUUGGCUCAAUAAUCAACUCAAGUCUUGUCUGGAGUUCUGGCGAGGGGAACGAGAACCCAGUUAUGCUGCAGAAGAGGAGCGGUGGAAAUGCAACUUCUGCAGUUUUUAUUCCCAGUGUCCAGCAAACUCCAAACUUGAUCCACCUAGCUAAAGAAGUAGCCGAAAUAUCAAUUUUUUCACAAGAUCAGAUUUCAGAUUCGAACUGGAAUGCUUACUUUGAAGGAGCAUGAAUUUGCUGAUGAGCUUCUUCGUGGUUCAUUUGGCAGUUCUUGUCGGUCAUCUCAAAUUACUGAUUUAUUCAUUCUUGUUCUACUGUACUCCCAGUGCUGCUGAGGGAUUUGAUUAUUCAUUGUUGUAGCAAGAAAAUGUCACUGAUCUCCUUGAUCGGUUAUUUGUCAUUGUUGUCCCACCCAUUGUAGGAUGGUGGGACGGGAAUAUUAAGCGGUUUGCUAACAGGAUGGAAUUAUUGAUGCUAUGCUUACUGCAUCAGAAAACCAUUAAUACACAUAUUUGGCUGCUAUUUUCAUUUCUUCCAUUCUUUGUGCACUGAAUUUAUUUAUUUAUUUUUUAUAGCCACUCUAGCUAAAGGGGCUAAAUUUCCAGAAAUUUUGGGGAUACAAAUUUUACCGGAAGGAAAUUUUAGGAUCAAGAUCAACAACUUUUACCAUGAUGACAUUUUAAUAUCAAGUAGUACAAGAAAGUCACCUCAUAAAGGAUACUUUGCCUUGGUGAGCCAUAGCUCAUGAGAUAUCAUUAAGAGGUUAAGAGUCCGGGAAGUUUUAAUUCUCUUUCUCCUCCGCUGUUUAUUAUAAAUCCCCCACCCCUCCCCGUUAAAAAAAAUUAAAAAAAAAAUGUUACCUUAGUAUACAUACAAUUUUCAGUGAUUAAGCAUUGUUGAAUGUUAAUCAAAUGAAUUAUCGGCUUCACCUGGAAACAAUAUUUUAGUUCCUUGGUACUAAUACUGAUUUAAAAACUUACUUGUACUAGUUAAUUUUAGAUAAUCUUAAACCUUAUGAACAUCGUCAAAGCUUGAUGAGUUGAAGUUAAUGAGCCUCUGGACUAUUAAAAUAUGGGCCUCAACAUUAAAUUUAAGCCCAUUUUGAAACUUGUCAAUCAAAAGUGCAGUCCAAUUCAUCGCCUCCUGCUCUCUUUACUGUCAAACUAAACCACUGGUAUGCUACAAUUCAGAGGAAGAGAGCUUCAUUCCCGUUGUUGUUCAAAAUCUGCUUCCUCAGAGGUUUGAUCUUUCUUAUCGUUACUCAUGGUUGCUCCUCCUAAUCCGUAGUCGAUCUAUUUAUGCAACCGUGAAUUCCACCUGCCUAUGUAUUGUUAUUGAAUCAUGUUUUGAUUCAAUUGUUCUCUUUUUCGAAGCUUUGCUGUGAACCCUUCACCUUACCUUGCCACAAAUUCAAUAUGUUUGAGUUUAAUUGCUUCCAAGAAUCGUAUCACGAACUUCUGCUGUAGCUUUUAAUAUCCAUAUGUUGUUCAUUUUGAGUUGGGCUGUGUUCAUUUCACAUUUUCAUUAUGCUUUCAGUACCAAGAAAUCACGUCACAAAAAUUCGGUCCAAGAUGGUAUCUUUGUGGCAAAAUCUAUCUGUUAGGGGCUCAGAAGUUCAUAGUUCUUACUUAAAGAUUGCCCCACGUUUAGCAUCCUUUUAUAAUCAUUCAAUAGUUACUCAUUCUUUUCAUCCCAUUUCCAGUAUAUGGAAUUUUAGAUGCCAUUCAGCUCCCAUCCAGAUUUCAAUUGCUUCAAAUCAAACACUCCUGGUUGCAUUUUCCCUCUCACUUUUUCUGGUUUCUUUUUAUUCUACAAGUCCAUAUCCAAUUCGACGCCUGAGGGGACCCCCUUCAAGAUCUUUAAGGAGGAGAAUGAGUAAGAGGGCAAAAGCUGCCGCAAAACCUGCUCUAGAUGAAGCCCAAUUUGAGAGGGCUAUUUCUGGGCUCCCACCUAGGUUCACUCCCGAGGAACUUUGCAAUGUCAUAGUUUUAGAGAAGGACCCUUUAGUUUGUUUGGAGUUGUUUAAUUGGGCUUCAAAACAGCAUAGGUUUAGGCACAAUGUUUCAAGUUUCCACAUUACAAUAAAGAAACUUGGUGCUGCAAAAAUGUACCAAGAGAUGGAUGAUGUUGUUAAUCAAGUGCUUGCUAUUCGUUCUAUGGGUACGGAAGCUCUUUACAAUACAAUGAUCUAUUAUUUUACAGAAGCUCGAAAAUUGACUAGAGCAGUGAACAUAUAUAAUCACAUGAGGGAUAUCGGAAAAUUGGACUGCAGGCCUUCAAUUACCACAUUUAAUAUCCUUUUUGCAGCUUUAUUGAGUAGGGGAAAGAACUCAUACAUAAAUCACAUGUAUAUGGAGACAACUAGAUGCCUUUUCAGACAAAUGAUCGACGAUGGGAUUGAACCUGAUAUUUUCUCCUUGAAUUCUAUGAUAAAGGGAUAUGUGCUUUCACUUCAUGUUAAUGAUGCCCUCAGAGUAUUUCAUCAGAUGGGAGUGGUCUAUAAGUGCUUGCCUAAUUCCUUUUCAUAUGAUUACUUGAUCCAUGGAUUGUGUGCGCAAGGAAGAACGAAUAACGCCAGGGAGUUGUGUAUGGAAAUGAAGGAGAAAGGAUUUGUCCCUAGUAGUAAAUCAUACAAAUCAAUUGUGAACUCCUUGGCUCUGAGUGGAGAAGUUGAUGAAGCGGUGAAGUACUUGUGGGAGAUGACUGAAAACCAAAGAUCAGCUGAUUUUAUCACCUAUAGGACCAUACUUGAUGAAACUUGUCGCCAAAGAGGGGCCGAAGAUGCCAAGCAUUUAUUGCAAGAGUUACAAGGGAAGGGCCUGCUAGACGGGCAUACUUGCAGGCAGCUUCUACAUGAGGUUGAAGGAAAUAUCGGAAACUCACAUUUCAGAACUCAAUUCAGGUACCUCAAUUUGUAGAUUUUUCAUUUUCCCAAGGAUCUAAGAGGGAAAAAUGCCUCGGCAUCAACUCUAGGAGUAAUAUGCCAGCAUGACCUGAUACCUCUGUUUUCUUUUUGUCCUAUCAUUUUUAGGCUCUCAUGGCAUAAGACAAUUCUGAACUUUGAACAAAGUUGCUUUCGUUAUCUGUUUCUCUGUCUUGUUUAAAAGGAACUGCCCAAGACGAGAGUUAGGGUUUUGAGUUGAUUAGAGUUCUUAAACUAUAUCCAUUUAUGCUAAAGUUGAGCCAUAACUACAAGGACUACUUAGAAAGUGCUUUCAUUAGGUUCUUUGACUACUUGGUUAUAUUUUUAACUCAGAUAAUACAAAUGUAGUUUGUCGAGAGGUUUACAGCUAAAAUUGCUUUGUUGCUCAAUUAAAUCUUUUGCUGUUCUUGCAGCUAAGAGCGAGCGGUGGAAUUUGUCUACUUCAUAUCCAUGCUAAGCCACCAAAAAUAUGUGAGAUCUAUGGAAAAGGCUUUGCAGUGGUCUUGUUAGCUUGUAAAAGAACCAAUGUUCUUCAGAUAAGUCCAAGGUAAUUUCGUUUUCCAGCCUUGAAUGGUUCUCUAAUGUUAAUAUCAACUUAGCGACCUGGUUCAUGUUUUUGUUUUCCAGCCUUAAAUGGUUCUGUAAUAAUAACUUGAACCUGGUUCAUGUUUACGAUAACGAGCUUUGUUUGUUUAUAAUAUACUGUGAUGAAAAAGCUGGAGUCAUUUAGAACUAGACGCUAGGGAAGUGACUGUCUCUAACAAGAGAUUUUCACAAGAGGGAGAUAUCAUUUAUGGGGACAGUGAAUAAAUAUGGAUGUUGUGAUGAAGUAGCCAAAAUUAAGCAGACCUAUGCAGGAUUGUGAGAAAUUGUUCAUUGUGGCAUUCCAUAACAAUGUAAGGUAAGUUAAGCCAAUAUCAGGUUGGCAGCGAAAAGUCAGCAUUUGCUUGGCAUUAGGCAGUGUUUAGUUGUUUUUCAAGUUCUGAUGGACCACAUUUGUCAGGAUUGAGGAGUUUCUUCUAGUUGUUUAACUUAUCCCUAAUAAAACUAUACAGAAUAAAUCAUUACUUCAUGCACUUCCAGAAGUCAAACCUAUUCUGUGCUAUUUUGCAGUGCUCCUUUUUCCCUUCCUUUCUAAAGAGUGUGGAACAUCUAUCUUACCCUGUUCUAAGAGAAGGAAAGGGAACAUUAAAAUGUUGGAAGACUUGAAUAAAUCUUCCGGUAGCAAUUGGUGCCUAAUGUUCAAUGGCCUUGAUUAUUUGUUCUUGGUUUUCUAGGAAUUCUUUACGUGGAUAAGCAUUCAGUUCUGGUCUAUCUUGCCUGAUGACUAACUGGAGUUUGCCUGGAAUCAAAAUCAAUGGCUGCAGAUGUUGUGAGAAGAUCAGUUGCUUGUCUGCGACAAUUGAGAUGCAUAUACUGAUUGGGCCGGGAAAAGAAAAACAUCAGUCUGCAUUGCUGGAAAAGAUUUUCUUUUUCUUUUAGGGAAGUGCCCAAUUAAGUUUAUAAAUGUGUGGUGGCUUGGAGGUGACCACAUAACUACGCUGUAAAUAAAGGGGUUGUCUACUGCCAAUGAGCACUGUUACUUGUGAUUAAACGAGCUGGCAAAAUCUGAAAUCUCUUGUAGAAAAAAUAAAUGGUAAAAAAGAGCACUUAUGUUUCUAGUGUGAGGAGAUGGCUAAGGUCUAUGCCCAGCUUGCCACCUUAAUAUGAUUUUCGGUGCGUUUGUUAAGCCUGGCGUGCUUUUCAUUGUAUGUUGUGGUAUCAUUUUGGUGUACCUGCUUUGUGAGUUGAGAUGUAUUACUUAAUUACCAUACUUAAGUUAGUAGACCUCUUUUGGCAUUGCUCCUCCUGUUUUGUUAUGAGGGAGAAUGAUGACAUUAGUCAUUGCUUGGCAAAAUUUGCCAUUAAACUAGUUUAGGAAGUUAAAUCAGAAACAAGUUUUCCAAUGUGACUAAAAAGCUAGUCACAAUCUGUUGAUAGGACAGUUGCCCAACAAUUGUAAUACUUUUGAAUAUCUUAUUAAAGUUUAUAUGAAAGUUACCGUUUGCUCCCAAAAAAAAAAACUGAACAAAUUGAUUAAAAUACUAUCCUAAGCACAGACUUACUGCCCUGUUGCAGAUGGAUCAACUUUCAAGUGGCGGUUGUUUUUUUUUUUUUUUUUUUUGUGUUUGGGGGGGGGGGGGGGGGGGAGAGGAGUUAAAGAAAAAGAAAAAGACAAAAUCAUCCUUUUAGAUAGUGAAACAUCCAGAGCUUCUGUAAUUAUAAUGUAGAACUUAACACUAAAAAUACAGACAUUAAACUAAUUAAUGUAAAUAUUAAGACUACGAUAUGUAAAAACACAAUAAUAAUUUCUUUUGUUACUUGUUGAAAUUUGUGCCCACAACUUCAAUUUUAGCCAUCAAAUUACAAAUUACUUUCUCUGAACCAUUAAUUGCAUGCUGCAGCUACAGAAGAUAUGAAUCCUGAAAACAUCAUUUAAAUCCAAAUCCGUACCGGGGGAAGGACACGCAUUAGUAGUUCAAGAACUAGAGUAUGAAUACGAGUAGGACUAGGAUUUUUCGUAAAUAUGAUACAUGAAGUGGUCUGAUUCAUAUCAUGCAUUAGUAUUUAGAAGAGUUAAUAGCGUUUUGCCCCCUGAAUGUAAGGAGUAACAACACUUUGUUCCCGUCAAUGAAGAAAAGGCACCUUACCCACUCAAGAAUCUUUUGUUUGGUAUUUGUAGCAGGUAUUCUUUUUUUUCUUGUAAAAAGUAAGAAAAUGAACUACUCAUAUAUGUUGACAAUUCCACCUCUAUAUUAUCUUCAAUCAAAUUAAUCUUGUAGAAACAAAGUUAUAACCUCCGCCUCCCUCCACCACUUCCCCUCAAUUUCAUAUCAUAGAGUUGUCAACAGUCUAUUUUUGGGAAUACUUGACACAAGCUCCAACUGAAAUAUUCUCAAGCAGGCAAAGAGCUUACUGUUUUUCAUUGAGGGGGCAAAAUGUUAUUACCCCCACUUUCAGGGGGACAAAGUGUUACUAGCCAUAUUUAGAAUGCGAGCACAGAGACACAACAACGCCCCGGCUCAUGAACAUUAAACUGCAACUUAUACGAAAUUGUUGAACGUUUCUGGAUUUCUGCUCCCUACCAAAAGAUUUCCCACUCAAAUAAAGCUAGGAUCCUAUAAAAAAAAAAGAAAAAAAAAAAGGAAAAAGAAAAUAGAAGAGCAAAGAAUUGUGAAUCAAAAUGCCGUGACAAACUCCACAGACUGUCGAUAUUCCAUGAUCCAUCCCUCCAACUGCAAAGCAUGGUCUCCUUUCUCAAGUCCGUGAGAGUCGAAAGGAUCUGAAAUUUUGCAUUUUUUUUUCUCUUAUUUGCGGAGUCAAGUCAUGUAUAAUUCCUAUGGAACUGCAAAUACAGACUACAAAACUGUAUCAGCUCGGCUUAUUAUAUACAUGGAAUCCGCAAAAAAAAGGCCACUUUGUACUCGGGUAACUGCAUGGCCUAGAUUAUCUUGAAACAUGGAACUUAAUAGAAUUGCAGGACGCCAGUUAUCGUGAUGGGGGGAUCAAUCCCUACACGAGUAGCCUUCCCUUCCGUAACUAACUGUGGCAAUGCGUUGGCAUCUUUGGCUGCAACUCCUUCACCAGUCCAUAAUGUGACAUGAGGCCACUGGUUUUUAGAAGUUAUCUUUUCACCAUUUACCGAGCCUGUGUGAGCUUCUAAUGCUGCCAAUUUCCCAGAAAAUAGUAGCGCAGUUAUAUCCACAGGUACCCUUUCAUUAAGAAACGAGCCAUAAUUUGCAACAGCAGUAACACCAUGACUUCUCUUGUGAGCCAGCGUCACAUGAGCUUUUGUGAGACUAUCCUUCAGAUUUUUCUCCUUGAAGAAGGUUUCAAUGCCGGGAUCCUUCUCAGCUAUCUGAUUCAAGAAAGGAAACAAUACAAAAUCUGUUAUACUAAUUUUCAUCCCAUAAAUUCAACAGAAGAGAAAUGAGGGAAAUGUGAAACCAAAUCCUUGAGUAAACAAGAAAACAGCAAAGAAAGAAGUAAAACGUAUUCAGCAAUCACAUUGCCAAAUUUCCUGGCUCUUUUUUUCAUUUCCUUUUUUUUUAAUUAAAAAGAAAAGGUAGUAUGCGACUCAAAACCAGAAAAGGUUAUCCAUCCAGAAUGAAAUGUGAAUGUCACGUUGAUACUUGCUUGACCCUUCCCAGACCACGCUACAAAUUAUAGACGUAAGAAGACCAAGACAGAAAGGUCCGUAGCUAUUAUCAACUGCACAGAGGACUUCAGAAUCUCAAAUUACGUAUGCCACAUGGUUCCUCAUGAACUUCUAGAAGAGCAAGUGGAAUGAGGCAAGACCUAUCAUGGGUCUGAAGGCUAUUCAAUUACAAAAGGUUUUGAAUCUUCAUGGAAAAACAGAAUUGGACUGGAAUUGGAGUAUCCAUAAAAUUUAACGUUCUACUCAAGUGCUACAAGCCCAAUUUAUAUCCAAUUAAGUUCCCAUCCUAAAGAACCAAAGAUAGAAUAAAGAAAAUCUCACUAAAUUUACUAUGCUAUGCAAGAGAAAACACUUGUUAACUCACCCUUUGGAGGAAUUGAUGGAUUUCUGCAACAGGCAAACUCACAGCAGCGUAUACAAUAGCCCCAAGCCUUCUUUUCUCAGUUACUGGUGCUGAAUACUCACCCUUUGCAACUGCUUUUAGUUGUUCCAAGACUUGCUUGACAGCAAAUUCAAAUGGAACCUGAAAGGACAUAUAAUGAGAAACCAACACAGUGAAAUUAAGAACUCCACCCCACAAAUGAAGGACAAGAUGUUUGACCAGAGCAGAUUUAUUAUGGUUGUUUUCCCCAUUAAUUAUAUAUGUUCACAUUUUAGUAUGUACAAACCCAAGUGAGGAGGUUUGCUUUGGACUUGGUGUGGGCUUCAAGGUUAGGCUAGUUCAGCUAAUUCUUGUGUAAUAAGCUUCCAUGGCAAAAGCCUCCAAGCAAACCACUUAUGCAUCAUAUUGAUCCUCAGUGCACCAAGUUCUUCAGGAAGAGGGUAUUACUAACUGAUGUGCAAAUGAAAAUGAUGAUAGGAUAUUAUACAAGCAUCCAAACCAAAUAGGCAUUCACCUGCACCGAAUCAAGGUACUCAGAAUUGCUUAAUAAAAUCUCUCGCAAUUCCUUCUCCCAUUUAGUCCAUUCUGUUGCAUAGGUUCCUUUGGUUGACUCCAAUCUGAAAGAAACACAGCUCUCGACUGAAUCAAUUGGGAAACCUCCUUUAUUAUGGUUCUCAGGACACAAAUCCAGAACAAGAUGGAAAUAUGAUUACCAACCUUCCAUGCCUGCUUGUGUGAAGCUUGUACAGGUUUAUCCCCUCUUCCAAAACAGAACUCACAGAAACAGGUAGAGGAGACCUACAGGUAAAGGUAAGAAAGAAAGACACACUUGAAGCACAUUAAAUCAGAAGAAAAUAAGCAUGUCUCAAUUUGUAGCCCUCAGGAAAGGAAGGAACUGAUUAUACCAUUAAAGAAACCAAAGGGAGAAUGGAAAUAACAUGUAUAUCAGAAAAACAAACAUUAUAGACACAGUACCGACUUAACAGUUUGUUCUGAUAUAAUCCAUACUGUAAAUACUUCUAUGAUAAUGAAAUGAGUAUCUUGAUAGAUCACAACCAAAUUGCGCCUAUUUCAUUUCUAAGUUAGGGAUGCUUUGAAAUGCAAAUAUAUUGGAAGGAGUUGACGAGAUUACAGAGUUAAAAUCAAAUAUUUUCUUUACGUUAGCAAAGAUUAGUAAGCCAUAGUGUAGACAAAAUUGACUAUAGAAAUUGGUGGGGGCACCAGAAAGUGGAUAAGUCAACAGAAGCCCAAAAGUUUUAGUGGCAAGCAUGUAAAGCUCUUUGUUUUUAAGAGACACUGUACACCAUAACUAUGUACACUAACCUGAAGUGUUGAUAAAUUACCUUUGCAGAAGAAAAGUGAGAAAGUAAAACUACAAAUAUGGUUCUAAACAUCCACAACAUUUGUCCUCACCAGGAAGACUGAUCCAAUUUUAAGAAAUUCAAAAGUUUAAUGACAGAGAUCUUCAGAGUAGAACAGCAGACCUAUUAGGCUUCAGUAAAGGCAUCUUCACAAGAGAGCCAAAACGUUCAAUUAACUCGGCCUCAAACUCCUUGCGGCUCUGAUAAAGAGCGGACAAUAAGAUAAGGAAGAAAUUUUAAAUAAGCAACAACCAAAAAAUGCGUGGAAAAACAACUACCUUGCCCUGGUAAAGGUGGUAAAACAUUAGCAACACAUAGCCAACAUUUGGAGAGGACUUGUCAAGGUUCCCCUUCAAGUCCCAAAAAAUAAAUAAAAUGUCAGCAACAUUGUACUCGAUUUCCUAGGAGGUGUGCAUCAUACAAACUACUGAAAACGAAAGUGAGAAAUACCGGAUGAUUAACACGGUGAAGCACUCGAUAUAUGAAAACAGCAAGUGCGUCAAGUGAAAAUGGAUUUGAUUCGGUUCCUGUAGAUUUAACCCAUUAAGUUCUACAUACAUGCUACAUGAAGCUAAUUUACAAAUCUAAUUAAUGAAAACUGGGAACAAUUUUAUUCUUGAAUCCUAGCAUAUUAUUUCACCAAGCAAAUAUAAAAGUAGACAUCUGGAAGGAAAUUAAAAUGUCAUUUGAAAACAAAUGUGAAUUGGGAAGAUUUUACAGAAUUAACAUAUCAUAUGAAUUACAUAUAAAAUUGCCGCAGAUCCCUGAUACUAUCUGCCAGAGCAAUGAAUGAAAAGAUCCACAAAUGAAAAAGUAAAGAUCGCUGUUCGUAUCAUACCGGCGCAGGCCCUAUGCAUUUCUUAGACUUACAACCUCUAUAAUAUGCAGCUAUAACUUCACAAAAAACUCAAUUAAAAUAGAAUUUCAUAACCUUCUCUAGAAGACUAAACCCAGAAAACAAUUAACCCAAUCCAUAUUGCAGUCCUAAAUGAUUAUGGUAUAGGGAGAUUGGCUCAGAAAAUUAGCCAGAAUGAACGAACACUUCGAACAAAUAGGGCUUUAAAAGACCACUCUCCCAACUAUCCAUUUAUAUAUUACUUAAAUUGGAGAGAAUUCUACAGAAAACACAAGUACUCUGAUGGUCAGACAUUUCUGAUGGUCAUAAGCGAAAGCACUUGAUGACCUAAGAUGGUUGACUACCCAUUUCUCUCUGUACUACAUGAGCAUGCUGCUUCUACACUAAGGAAUCACAUACAUCCUUCUUGCACAUGCAUGUGAACGUUUCCUACACGCUAGUGACAAUCAUGCAGCAAGUGCAUAGUGGUUGGACAUGGUAAUUCCUACCCUUUAGCUGCAAUGAUUGUUGACCGAUAAGUCAGGAAAUAACAUUUAACAAAUGAAUCCAAGCAAAUGUCCAAAUUACACAACAGAGGAAAGGACAACAUAAGAGUGCAAAAUAGCAAAACAAAUACUUUCAACAAACAAGCCAUAUAUACUCUGUGAGUGAGAAUAUAGAAGAUCAAGAGAAUGAAACAAAAUGCUAGAAUAGGACCUUCUGAAUCUGGUACGACCGGAACUGCAGAAGCUUUGGUGCGUCGGCACAUGUCCUCAAUCUGGAGAAAUUAAAUGAAACCUCAUCAAGCAAAAUCCAAAGAAUAAAUGAAAGCAUAAAGGAGAACAGCAAGCCCUCCUUCCGCCGGCCCCAAAACACCCCAGUCCAAGAUAAUGGAGCACAGACCAAGAAGAAAAAGUCCCCACACCCAACUUCCUUUGAAGGAAAAAGUAGAAAAAACAGGAACAUUGUGUGAAAAAACAGGAUGCUAAUAGGUGAUACGUAGUUCAACAGGUAUAAAACGAAAAGGAUUGGAAAAAAGGAAAAAAGUGAACAGUGAAAUUUAGCAAAUUUGGUCCCUACAAGGCAAAUUGUUACUAGUCAGAUUCAUUAACAAACUCAAGGGAAUGUGAUCUCAACAAGUAACCUGUUUCCAAACUUCCUCGUUCGGUGCAUUCUUGUCGGCAAGCAUUAUCGAAUAAGGCUUUCUCCGGCGUUCAUCAGCAACCUUCUGCCAAUACCUACCUAUUGAAAUUUAAUGCACCAAGAGUAAAUACAGUAUCAGAAUCUAGAAUGAGCAAGCCAAUCUUAUAAUCAGAUUUAAGAAGCAAUCCAAUCCCCGCUCUUUAAGGGAGGAGAAAUAAUAUGGAAGUUGAUUCAAUUCUUGGAGUGGAAUGAUCACAAGAAUGCAAUGAGGCAUGCAAAAUGAGUACCCAUAUCAUCUUGCCUUCCUCAACAUUUCGCUGUCUAUCCCCCUACGGUACAUGUGCCCAUUAACCAUCCACUAAAUGAGAAUUAGUGAGCUUUACUAGAAUAAAAUGUCCAAUGGAAGUAUCCCAAGAUUUCAGUUUUCAUCAUUUUAAUCUACUGUAUUUCCAGUAAACUUCCUAUUGGUACUGGUUUAGUAGUAUAGCCAGCACAUGAUGUACCAAUUGAAACCAUGAUCUCUGAUGUCAGAGCAGAAGGUUCAUCUCUAGUCAUUUAUAAGACAUGCAAUAAGCUGCAGCACGAAAUCUUAAGCUUUGCAAGAGCUUUCUAAACAGGAAAGGUCUUAAAAAUUGAUAAUCUCCCGAUAGUUGCGAUUGAACAACAAAAAAUUCGAACAGAAAACCAAUUCAAUAACACUCUACAGAUGAACCUGUAUGUUUAAAAUGCAUCAGAUAUUUAGAAUGUCAUUGAGCUCAUACCUUUUAUAAGAUCACCCAUCAAAGUGUUAACUGGUCGGUCAUCCUCAAGGACUCCAGGGGCAUUUAAAAUUUCCCUACAAAGCGCAGAUUUUGCACAACCAGGUAUUCCUGAAAGUCGAAAGCAGUUAGUCCAUAUAAGAUUGAUUUAGUGGGUGCAUAUCUUAGGUGGAGAGGGAAGAAAGAAAGAAUGCAUGACAAGCGAAAACAUCUUCAAUGGUAUAAUAAUAACGAUAAAAGAGAUGUGUGCAUAUCAGGAAGUGUUAUCCUCCAACCAACAGGUAAACUGAUAUGCAAUGAGCAAAAAGAACGGCUUACACCACAUAAGAAGUUUCAACUAGCAAGUGAUAGAAAAAGAAAUCAGAUUAUACAUCUAGUGGAUUUCUAAGAUAUAUAAUUAACAAGUUCAUGAUCAUCAGAUGGAACAUACUUCUAUUCUCUUACCCUCCCUACCUAAAUGGAACCAAAAGGAAAUGAAGGAGCUCAAUGAUUGUCAACAUUAAAUAAGCAUCAAUAUAAUAUUCAAUCUAAACCCGAUAUAUGUCAAAAAAAAAAGUCAAUCCAGUGAUCUCAAGAUGAAUAGGCUGGCCCACAAUUUUCCCAUCCAGCCAUACCUGGAAAGAAGACAAUGAGGCCCUCAUCCUUGGCAACUCUGUCCUUAACUGUAGUUACUGGUCCUGCAUCCCUCUCUUGCUCAAGGUCACCCUCUUCAUCUCUUCCUCCCUCAAUAAUGGCCAAGAAGUCUUCUGAUCUUACUAAGUUUCCAGCAGAUCCUAUCAAAGCUUGAUUUUGUGGACUGCGCUUUGCAUAUUGCUCCAGAAAAGGCUCAGCCUCACUAAGGUAUACAGAAGAAGACAGCAUUUUGUGUCCAUACUUUCUGCGUAUGUAUACUGCCCUGAGAAAGAGGUUAGAUUAUUAGAUGCUUCACAUAAAGAAAUGUAAGUGAUCAUGAAUGAAACCAUGGAAAUGAUUCCAACAUUACCAUUCAUCGAGCAUUUUGCUCAAUUCCCUUUGCUUUGUAGGUGAAGUAUUCCAUAUCUUCAUUUGUCUACAGAAACAGGAAAUUAUGAAAUGAAAAGUAAGCAAAAUAUAUCUGCUGUAACAGAUUCUUUCUAUUCUUAUUGAGACCUUUAAGCUUCACGGAAAUUUCAUUUACCUCAAAUAGUAGGCUUUGUAGGCAGAUGGACCUUCUUUAAAGAGAUUAGACAAGCCAUUCCUGAUCAAAAAGGUUCGCAACUGCACCAUAAAGAAUCAAAUAAGAAACUAAAGAGUACUGCCAUGAAAUUAGUUAGUGUCCCACAAAAGAAUGUUCAUUUAAAAGUUCUUAGAGUUGAAAACAGAAGUUCUUUAAAAUUUCCAUGAAGUAGCAAAGGGAAAGUAUAUGAAAUUUCCUUCAUGUCAUUAAAGUUGAAAAGUUCUUUAAGAAUUAGGUAAUUGGUUUUGAAAGGUUAUUUACAUACUCCAAGGAACUAGAAGUUCAAAGAGAAAGUUAUCCAAAACUGUGCUUACAAACCAAACAUUCAUUCCCUCACUUCAAAAAUUCCUUGACUUUCCACUGUUCCUUCAAUCAAAACAAUGUCACAGUUUACACUAAAUUUCAUUCCUUGGCUUUCCACUGUUCCUUUGAUCAAGCAAUAUCACAGUUUUACACUAAAUUUCAGCAAAUGAAAUUAAAAAAAAAAACCAAUUUAGAAGAUGCAUUGUAAUUAGCACAGCAGAAGCCAACUGAGGAAAGGAAGAAACAAAUGUUGUAUCUGUAUACUUAAUCUACAAUUUGUACCAUUGUACUUUCUAUCUGAAUAUCUGUUGUUUCAAUUCCAAUCAACAAGCAAGAUAUAGUUAAAUGAUAGAAUUAAUGAUCAACACUUGAGGAAGCUUUAACGGAUAAAACAGAAAAAAUUCACCACCAAUGAUAUGAUUAAAGGAUCUGUAGCUCAUUUUAAAGAGCAUGCAACAUGCUAGAAGCAUUGGGAAACAAGUAGAUUAACUAGAAAUCUAGCUCCAUAAAGCACCUCCAAGGUGUAAUGCACCCAGGACUUCUCUGUCAAUACCCGACAUCCUUGACAGAAAGUUUUGACAUGUGCACAGAUCAUCAAGUGUAAUAAAGCAUGCAUCAACUAGAAAUUUAGGACCCCUAAUUAUCGCCCAAGUAUUACUAAAUCCAAGGCAAGAUAUCUGAAACAGCCCUUGAAAAGAUAACAGAAAAAUCAAGGUAGUUGCAAAUAGUAAGUGCACUGGAGUUGAAUGCACAAAAUUUCUUAUAACUACAAUAGGCACACAUGAAGCAGAAAACCAAGCCUGACUAGGCUCAACCUAAUAAGAAUGGUGAUGCAUUUCAGUCAAGUAAAGAGGAUCGCGGGGAAUGUCAGUUGCAGUUUACCUUAUAUGUGAGAAAUUUCAACUUGAUCAUCAGAUUUGCAUCUUCAUCAGCUAAACUCUCAUUUGUGAAAGUGCCAUUAUUCUCAUCAACUUUUUUUGCACCCUUCUCCGUUCCAGCAAUUUCAGCAGCCUUUUCCUUGUCUGCCUUGAAUAAGUUUAAGUCGACAAAGAAACCUGUCAAAAAAAUCACCAAUUAGCAUCCAACAGAGAAAAGUAUGUCAUUAUUAGUCAAAAGGAUAUUCAAUCGUACAGAUAAGGAAGCUGAGAAUUGCAAAACAUCUACGAAAAAGAAUGAAAAGCAGAGGAAGAAGAAAGGACUAUAGCUGAAUUACAAAGCUGAUGGUACCAAAAGCAAUAUGGAUAAAGCAAAAAUGGCUAAAGCUGGAAUAGAGCUACAAGAAAUAGACAAGCAAGCAUCAAUUUUCUGAAAUUGGCUACCUCCUCCACUAUUCUCAGCAUUUGAAAGGAUUAGAGAAGAAGAAUGGAUUUAAUCCCUAGUGCAAAUCCCACAAACUAACUGGAAGUCUACCAUAUGACCAAUGGCACAGCUGAAACCAGUAAAAAAGCAAGCACAGCAGUGAGCUUACCUCGAUAAAGUGGCCACAGUCCUGGUUUGUUCCUGAGACAUGCACAUCCCAACCCGUUAUUUCAGUCAAAGAAUGAAAAACUACAAAAAUAGAUUUAGCAGCAAAAGUAAAGUUAUUUCCCAUCAUUAAGAUAUCAAGACAAAUUAAGUAAAGACCUCAUCUCUUUUUGAUAUCGCCGAAAUGCUGAAUCACUGUGUACAUGGAUCACCAUUUUGAAAUGAAGAUUAUUGCUAGAGACAGAGUUGAUCUUUUGAUAGUUAUGGUACAAUUUAAAAGCAGCUGGAUAGCGGUUUUCGCGCAUCAAGCGAAUCAUUUCCUGAUUGAAAUCAUCAAUCAUAGAAAUGUUUGGUAAGAUCAAUUGAAUAAACUCUUGCAAGAAAAUUUGACAGAUUUUGCAAAAUGAGUAUAUAUAAACUGGGAAAUGACAAUAAAAGAAUAUCAAAUGACAGAACCUCUUAAAGCAAUCUCAACAGGCAUUAAAAAACUCUUAGCUAAAUUUGUUUGACUGAUUUCAUUUUUAUCUGAAAUAAAGACAUUAAAUCAAAGCAAGACUCUUGGUCUCUUACAUCAAGCGCCUAAGAAAGGUUCCAAAAGCUCUCUUACUCCCACAGGCAAUGAGGCUUUAUUUGUAAAAGAUCAGUGGCACAACUUAUGUAUGAGAAUGUAUAAAUGAAUACACCAAACAUCUAUGUGGAGAUACAUUGUUACAUGGCCACAUCAUGCAAAACAAUGCCUCUAAAAUGGAAGUUAAAGGGAGAUACAUAAAACACCACCUGCAACUUUAUUGUAGAAAAAUCAGCAGGGUGUGUUUGCAGGAACUUUGUAAGAGCCGAACGAUCAACAUUUCUUGAAUGUGGGUCGGACCCUUCAUUCCCAAACCAAUCCAGAUAGUUUGGGCAGAAGGAAGUGCCAACGCUCUGCAGAAGUGCCUUGAUUUGCUGCAAGUCAUGUAAGAAGCAAAUUGAUAACACAUCACGAGAUACUUGUGUACCAUAAAACUUCAAAUGUUAGGAAAGCAUGUUAUCUGUUGAGGAUGAAGGUUACCUGCUUCUCAUCAGAUCUAUUUGCAGCACAAAUUUCUCGCAGGCUAGCUCCUAAAUCUUUUGCAUCUGCCACCCGAUACACAAUCACAUACAAUUACUACACAUGUUUAAUUCACAAUUACACAAACCAUAAGUACGUCCCAGUAGUUUCCUUCCACCUCAGAACUAAAGAAGUAUCAGAGAUAGAGAGAGAGAGCAAACACAAAAAGAAGGAAGCAAAGGCAAUUUCAGUUUGACAGCAAAAGCAAGAACAAGCAAUUGUCCAGAUAAUAAUAUUUCAAAAAAGCAAGUCCCAUAAUUCCAGUAUUUUACAAAUCAUUUUACCAUUCACGACAAAAUAUUUUAGACAGCAAACCCUUAUUUGAACCUUUUCUGUUAUCUCUUUAAUGUAGAUUUAGCAUUACAUGUGCAAUCAGAGAGUGGAGCUUCAUCCAAAGCAGGAUCAACCAUUAAUGGUCUAUAAACUCAUUGAAAGGUGACUUUGAGUUCAAUGGCUGAAUACCCACUCAGUGACUCCUAUAGCGUGACCAUGUUCAUCAAUACUGAAGGUGAAAAAAUAAACCUGUAAACAUGUUUAGCAGUUUGGAAGUGGCUUAAAAAAAGGCCAAAAAAAAAGAGGUACAGCAGAGUGAAUCGAGACAUCUUAAAUUUGUUGCUUAAGAUACGAUAGAUACAUAUCACUUGCUCGAGCUAUUUAAUAGUAGCAAAACAUAAGUUGAAAUUUCCUGGAUGGUAAGAAAGAAACUUCAUUGACAAUAAUCUCUGGUCAACAGAGAGAAGCAACUCAGUGACAAUUGCUUUUCCCUUCCUUUCUAACCCCUCAAGUUGAGUAGCACAAACAAAAUCCCACGUGAAAGUUGUUUCACAACAUCUAAAAACACUAGGCACACAGUCAAUAGAGAAGAUAAUUCCAGAUGGAAAUUCUUUGAACUUCCACAAAGAGCUAAUGAGGGCCAGCAAGAUUUAAGCACUUGAACAACCAAAAUUACAGAGAUACAGCAUGAAAUUUUACCUAGAUUCCUGUUACUUACAAUAAGAAACUAUGCCUUAAAAGCUUACACUAGUCUGUGCGUGAUUUGAACUUCUUAAGCAAAGGAGAUUGUUCACAAAUUGCAACCAAAAUUUUAAGGCAACCAAGAGAGAGAGAACAUGUUUUUCACACAACAGAAAAGGGAAAAUACUUUUUACCUUCAUCCACAGUAGGUAAAGGAAAAUCCCUUAGAACUUGUUCCAUGUCUUUUGAACUUUCAUGGCUUACUAUGCGAGCCACAAGACCUUCUAAAAUUUCGCCUUGUACCUUUAUGUGGUCUAUUGAUCCUGCAGCCAGUGAGAGAGAAAGGGCAAAAUUUUAGGAAUAACAAAAUACCUUGAUAAUUUACAGAUGUCAUAAUUUAAGAAAGGCUCUAACAAUUACAGUAAUUUCAAGGCAAGGGACCAUGGGCAUAUAUUUAUAUUAAAAAAAAAACAAAAGGAUAAGAGAGUUGGAGGAAUAAAGUCCACUAGCAUUUAGUACAAACUAUAGCUAGGAACCUUAGGCCAGCUUAAGACUUGAUGCCUGUACUGUCUAAAAGAUCUAAUUUGCAAUCAAAGCAGCACCAGCUGCAUGCUACUAACAGAACCAUACCGGCAUACAGUGCUGGACCACAUUAAAAUUGAAAAUGAAAAAUAAAAAAGUUGACAAGAAAAGGUAGAAUGAUGGUGAUGAGAAGAACUAGGUCUUAAAUUACAACCCAAUGAUGGAGGAAGAAUAAGUGCAACUGUGCAAGCCUAAUAACAAAUAUUCCGGAGAAAAUGAUAAGCAUCCAGCUAUGAAGAAGAUAAAAUAUGACAUCUGCCCACUAAUUCUCUCUAAGUGCCUGUGUGGAUGGAUUGAACAACAGUCAUUUUCAUCUCAUAACAUCAGCUAUUAAGAGCCAAGAUCGAGUAGUUAGACUAAGGCAUCAGAAAAUGGAUAUAAAUCAGGUCUAUGAGAAUUGUAAACAAUAAAAGUCUUAGCUCACCACGAAAUCAAAGAGAGAUUAGUAACUAAAAAAAGCAGGGUCAUCAAGUAGAAUAUAAGGGACCACAAUGUUUAAAAGGUUUGCAGAAUGGUGAUUCAGCAGUAGCUGUCAAGGUGGUUGGUUUAUCUUGAUUUGCAUAGGAUAUCAUAGAAAAUACAAGAAAGCCAACAUCAGGAUAUGCUGCUGGUUGUAUAGCAUGCCUAAUGACAGUUAAGUAGCUGGUAUACAGAAGAAGCACAAUGAGACAACCAUGGUAAUACUUGUAACCUGGUCUGAUUCACAGACAAAAAAGAAUUGCAGCCACCUGCAACUGUAAUGUGCUAUACCUGAUCUAUACUGAAACAACAAAGGUGCUAAAGCCAAAUUUGGAGGACAAACAAGUUAUCAAAACCUGAGCUUUCCAUGGUUUCGACAAAUCACAUCAAAUCAACAAGCUUUUGCUUUACAAAUAAAGGCACGUGGGUUUGUUUGGAUUGUAAAUUAUUUGAGAUAUUUUUACUGUAGCGCUUUUUGUGAUGUGAUGUAUGUGAGAUAACAAGGUAAUUGGAAAGAUAAAAAACUGUAUUGGAAAUUGUAAUGGUAAUGUAAGCAAAUAUAUUUGGGGAAAUAACCCACUAUCCAAACAAACCCAGUUCUGUUCUCAAAUAAACUUCACCUGGAACAGAUAUAUCUGCAACUUCGUCAAGAGCCUGACAAACAGGAGAUGCUGUUCCUUCUUCACACAAUGCAUCGUAUGCAGCAAAAAAGGAGGUCACCGACUUCCUAUAGUAUUGAUGCAAAAUAUGUAUCAGGGCAACAACUUUCAUCUUAGAUUUGCCAAAAGUACUCCAACAAAAAUAAAUAAUAAAGAAUAUUUUCUCCACUAGCUAGAAACAAUUUCAUUUAGUAAGAUGCCUUGUAACUAGUUUACCAAAAUACAAAUAAAAAGGAAGAGUUAAUCACAAAAUAAGAUGCAAGUACACUAAGACAAAAUUUCUGCCAAUUGCACUUGUUUAAGAAUCACCAAGGAAAUUUUGAUCAAUUAUGUCAAAUGAUGAUACAGCUAUUCAUGACCAAGCUCCUGUUUUAAAUGCUUAUACCGAAUAGAAAAAUCUUAAAAUACACAUAGAUGAAAGAAGGGAGUGCAUUAAGAACAGAAAAUCAAUAAACAUAGACUUCCUCUAAUCAUAACCAAUAUAAUGUUUGUAGUUCCAACCUCAGUACUGAUUUCCAAACUUUAAGAAGAGAAGAAUUACAAAGACAUCCUAUUAUAAUGAAGAAAGUGCAGCAUCAAUCAAACUGAAAUCUACAACUACAGUUGUAUUCUUUCUUAAAAACACACAUAAAAGAGCAAUACCUGGUGGAGAGCAACCAGACAUGAUUUGUUGGAAGACGCCACUUCCGGCAAAAAGCUAUUAUUUCUGGAGUAGAAUAAAAUGUUGGUCUCCCAAUGCCCAAUUCUGUGACUGCUGUCACAACCACUGCAAGACAAGAUAGACAAGGCAUACAAGCUGAAGCAUGAGAACCAGACUUUCUGCCAAAUCAUAUCCAUCAAACUAAUUAUGAAAACCAAAACCUAUGGCUCUGCGAAAACAGUUGCACAAAAUUGGAGCUCUGCCAGACACUGGAUAGUUUAACUGUUUACAAUUCUAAGAUCUAUUAAUUUGAAAUGAAUGGCAGGAAGGCAGCAUUGAUCAGCUAACAAGAACUAAGCCUGAAGUAACAAUAACUUGAGUUCCAGUAAAUGUUACAUGGUACCGCUUGACAAAAUUGUCUGGACUGCAGUUACAGUAAGUGCCAAAUACAUAUAUAAACCCUCUUUGCUGGUUGAGAAUGCCAAAAAAAAAAAGCAAAAUAAUUGAAAAGUUUGGCCAGCAUAUGGUAGCACUUGUACAUAUAUUUCAAGACAACAAAAACAUCCUUCCAUAACUACCAUGACUGCAAAAACACAACUGAACAAGUUGCCAUUCUUGCAAAAAUACAUUAACUGUUGAACAAAUUGCAACUACUUAAAUGCUUCAAUUUUUAGCAACCUUCAGAAAAAAGUGCGCCACCAUACGUCAAGGUAUUGUGUCCUUUCAGGUGUUAUCAUCCCUCAAAAUAGAAUAACCAAAAAAGUUUAAUCUUCCAUGACCCAGAAAAAGUGUAUCUCAGCUUCAAUCAGUCAACAGAAGGAAAAGAAAAAGAAACCAGAAUAUCUGACCACAAAAUAUACCACAUUAAUGUAUAGUAGUUGAUAAUUUUCUUUUAUGCCCUCACCAUAAUCUUCUCGAGGACGUUGUCCAUGGUCUCCUAGUACAGCAGUUACCAGUUCCAUUGAUAUGCACAUGCGAUUCCGCUGGAAAAAAUUCAAAGAACAGAAUUCAUCAAUUCAUAAGGACAAACAUAUUGCUCAAUUACUAUAGCUAUUGGGCAUCAUGUUAUGUGCCACAUGUAUCGACAAUGUAAAUAUGAAGAUGUUUCAGAAUGAUUAGUGACAGGGUAAGUGAUGCUCACAUAAUUACAAGAUUCCAGUUCCACUUGCAUAUGCCUUACAAGAUGAAAUUUCUUGUUACUGCAGCAACGCCCCCUUCCCCCCCCCACACACACACACACACAACACAACAACCAAAAAAAAAAAACCCCCCACCCCACAGCCCCUCAAAAAAAGAUUCAAAAUCAGCCAAUAACAUCUUGGUCCAUGAAGUAAUGGUUCCUAGGAUGAGCAAUCAAUACUAUUCCUCAUCUAUAAUCUAGAUACCAUUUUACUCUUCUAGAUUAGUAUGGUGAGAGAUUCAAAGCAAUAAAGUCAAGCCUAUCCCCCAGUUUAUUCUCAAGAUUCCACAGUGAAAUACCAAAAGAUAAGGGUUUCUAGUCUUCAAGAAACUGCAUAAAAAAUAUAACGAAGAUAUGUAAAAACUACAAAAGCACAUCAAAAUCAUAACAUAAAUGCCUUCCUCAACCAAGAUAGAAAGUUAUCACUGAACAACUCCAAAAGACAACUCAAAACUAAAAGUUCCUCGCAUCUGUGCUCCAUCAAAGAAGGAUCAUUAUUUUAUUUCUUAUGAGUAGGCUAUUUGCACCUUAUUUUCAGUGCAUUAGGAUUUUGAUUUAAUCUAAAAGUAAUGACAUCUAGAUUUUGUUGCACAAUGUCUAAAAAAUAAUUCUGUGGAAGUACAUUGAGAAAUUCAUUGAACUCUGCUUGCUUCUUGGUUGCUUGAGCACCCCAUGCCUUGUGAAAAGUCCUCCCAAGCACAAAAACACCAACAGCAGUGUAACUGCCGAAAAUAAGAAAAGUGAAAACUUAAAUAGAAAAGUCAAGCCAUAUAAAUGACUGCUAGAAUGAUACACAUCCAAGAUUACUGACAUUAUACAGAAAAAGAUGCAUAUUUUUAUUCAUGUAAACUUAAAAACAACUCCAGCAGGCUGGAUGUUCUCAAAUCUAUUCCAUUGUGAUUACCAAAUAAUUCUCAGAAAUAGUUUAAACCUAGUGCACCAGAAAUAACUUUAACUUUAUCUUAUUCAUCAAACCAUGUGGAAUUCAUCUUCCUAACCAAUUGCACUAUUGAACCAAGAAUCCCCUGCCCAACAUCCCAAUAGAAUAAAUGAACUCCCAACCUCUACAAACGUGUUUCAUUCAGUGAUUGACUGAAUCAUCAGAAUGCACUAUAAAGCAUUUAUAAAUUUUCACACAGGAGGAAAUGACUGGUUGAACACCAAACCAAUCAUGCUAACGGUUCAAGAGAAGAGAAAACUGAAUGUUUUAUUUGUUUAGCAGUUCCACCUUGACCUCCCCAUAAAACUACCCCCACCCAAGUAACUCCACCCAAAACGAAGAUCAACAAUAGCAAAGAGGCAUAAAAUCUCUCAGUAGCAUACCAGCAAUGGAGUACAGUUCAGUAAAUUAAGCAAACAAAAGCAAAAGCUCCAUGAUAUAAGGUAGGAAAUGAAUAGAGGAUGCAAUGGUUAAUCAUGAGCAUACACGUUGCCAAAGCUGUUCUUAGCAUAUGCUCCUCCCUCAUGUCCAGCAUACAUGAAAAGAGAUCCAGAAUGCUUGAGUGAUACCUGUUGAAGACAUGAGAAUGCUAGAGAAAAUGAGAACAAUGAUAGUACACACAUCAAAAGAAAAAAUUGAGCUCCAUUUCAGCACAACUGAAAGGAAAUUAUGGAACAAAAGGAUUUGUAGAACGGAAAAGCUAAAUUCGUACCUCCAACGUGGCCAAGCCUUUCGACACCAUCUCUAUCAUUCUUACUCUAAUCUGGAACACGAGAACAAUCAAGAUAUAACUCAGAAGCCCACUAACAAGAUUCAACUAAUGCUCAAAAAAGCACAAUAAGCUAUAUUUUGGAGACCAAAUAAUCGGUAAUAUCUAAUUGGUAUGCGGACAUUUCCCCCAACCACAUGACUAAAGGAAAAGCAAGAGAGAAAAACAAACCUCAUGAUCAGACUUCUCAUUUUCAAAUUUGGGGUAAAAGGUAGCUCUUAUUUGCGCAUGCGAGUAUGUUGAAUUGUCCACAGUGAAGUUGUCCAGUAAAUUACCCUUAAACAAUUUGCUCAAGACAGCAUUAUUUAAUCCACCUGAUGCUGCUUGAGCUUCACCCCCCUGAGCCGGACCCACCACUUGAGCAGCUGGUCCUUUUUCAACUUCUACAGCCAUUGCCCCACUUGUUGUUCCAUAUGACUUCGUCUCCCAAAAGCCCUGUCUCGGAUUGUUGUUCACCAAUCCUACCCCGGCAAACUGUUGAUCUGGGGGAGGAACACUGGACUCUCCAUCAUUUUGAGGAAUGCUUAAUGAACUAAAUUUAUCAGUCACAGCUUCCACACCUCCUACAGAAGAAACCUCUUUCGCAGUUGAUGAAGGCCUGUCAGAUUUUGGCUUCUCUAUCCAUCUUUGUCCUCUAGCUGCACUCCUUGGCUGCAUUUUCAUAAAUCAGAACAAUGAACAGACAAAUAGUGCCAACCAUUAUAAGAAAUUAGGAAAAACUUAAAUGAGCAUAUCCAAAAUACAUAAGGAUUUGAUUACCCUGUAUUCUACAUUUGUCCAUAAAAGGUAGAACAGAGGAUAAAAGGUAUCUCUUAAAAGGCAGAACACAGGAUAAAAGGUAUCUCUUAUCAAAGUUACUAACAGAGAACCAUAGCUACUAUUUAGAUGGCAAGCAUUUCUAAACAAAAUUAAGCUCAAUAAUGCUUACGUGUUCAAGUAGAUGACAAUGCUCAUCUUCCACUGUGAGUACCUUUUUUUCAAUCCUUUUUCUGUUUCCUUCUUAUAAUCACUCUUAUUGGUGACAGAAAUAAGGAAAAGAAAAAAUUAUUCAACAUUGUAAACCGAAAAAAAAAAAUUUCAACAUCCAAUUUUGCUUCAACAUCUUGACAUUUUACCCGCAAGGAGAAAAAAGAAAACAAUAGCCAGGGUUAUAAAAAUAGAAAUAAAGUACCAAGUUGCUACAGAUGCAGAAAAUUAGAGCAAGAAUAAAUACUUAGAUACCAAAAAGGGAAAAGAGAUAGCAUUUAAGUCCAAACUCUAAAUUCCUAUUUUCGAUCUUUAUAGCUCAUGCAAUCAAACAGUGACCAACUGCGAAAAUGUUACAUCUUUAAUCCAAAACACAGCACAAAAGUAGGGGCAAAAGCAGGUAAGAGAAAGGAAAGACUCGCAUCGCCAGGUGGGCUGACAGCAUUGCUAACACAUCACAUAUCCAUUAGACAGCUAUAACUACCGUGUUCGCAGAAUUUAAUCAAGUCUUCUAUAAUUAAAAGAAAAUAUAACCAAUUCAUCAGAUAAAAUCACAAAAAAAAAAAAAAUUGAAAUAAAAUACAGUCACGUAAUAUAUGCCCAUCAAAAUAGAGAAGAAAAAGAAAACCUGUUUCCGUUGCAUGGUGGAGUGAACCAGUGAGCUGCUGAAAGAGAUGGAGCGAGACCGGAGAAGAAGAAAGCUUCUGGAAGAAAUUAGAUGAUGAGGUGAAGAAUGAUAAUGCGAAGAGGAAGAAGAACGAGAAUAGAGUGCUAGAGUGAAACCAGAGAAUAUUCUCUGAGAAACCAGCCCCCUCGACAACAUCCAAGUUUUCCAGAUAGUACAACUUUGCUAUAAAUAGUAGAGAAGAAGAGUGGGGCGGUGAGUGGUAAAACUGCAAUAGCUAAGAAAUAGGACGUCAAAUACUACUAAUUUACGAGCACCGCGGGCACCGCCUUAGACCGGCGUCGAAUCAGAAUCGUUCUACUGUGAGAUACUGUAGAGUGAGAAGAAAAAAAAAAUUAGGUGCAGUGCCACUGCCCAGGGAAAGAUUAACUAAAUCAUAUAUAAGCAUUUAUCAGUUUAAAAUACCGCGCAGUAGUCUAUAUAUGAUCUAUAUCGUGUCGUGGUCAUUUGUCGUUCACGUUUCCUCAAGUUAAUAUUUUAUUUGUGUUUUUCUCAUUUUUUUCCUUGGGUUAACCUUCCAGGUCGUGGCCACAUGAUGACCAAUUUCUUAAUGGAUAAGUAAUCAUAAAAAAAAAAAUCCAUGCGAAGGGUCCAGACAUUAAUUAUUGCCAAUUACUUUCUUAACUAUCUAAUCUCCCAGAAUUCCUAUUCGGGAUAAUAAGAUAUGCCUUGAUUUUCAAUAUACCAUUUUUGUCUUUUUGUUGUUAAUCAGACAAAUCUACCCCGUAAUAUGUCAUUUUAAAAGUUUUCUUUUUUAUCUCUACUUUUUUUCCUCUUUACCUUUUCCUCCCUUCUUUUGCCAUUUUCUUCUUUCUCCUUACCGUUGAAGGUGGCCCCUUCCACUAUUUAAUUAAGAGCAGGACGAUUUGAUUGACUGCACAUUUUCAUUUGAUGAAAAAAUGAAUUAGUUGUGCUAACUUCUGAUUCUAAAUCUCAGGGCCUUCAGCUAAUUUACUGCCUUUGCUUCCUAUAAGCAUUUUGAGGCAUGGGUUCUGCCUGCUUUUGUCAGCCCGCCAGGGACGCAUUUGAAAGAUCAAUCAAUGGCACAAGUAUGGCUCUAACAGAAUGAUACAGAUUGCCUCUCUUUCAGCUUCUUCCUUCCUGCGGUCGAAUUCAACAACUUUACAUUCCAGUGAGCAAUCCAUGUGCCAAUGGAAUGGAGAUGUAAUAAUUUAUAGUGGAUAUUAUUGCAGUAUGGUAAAUGGUCUCCAAGUGAGUAAUGUGCCUUAGCAUAUUCACAAUAUUUAUGACUACCAAUGUUUGCCGUGGCUCUGUUGCUCUAAGCUGGCAGCUUAUUUUGUCAAACUAUAAAAGUCUAAGGUGAAGAAACCACCUAGCAGUUCACAAUGUUAACUAUCUCCUCUUUGCUGCAAAAAAUUUCCAUAUUUCGGCGUGUAAACACUUACUGUCAACUAAUGGCCUGCCUUUAUGCUUCUAAAUCAGAACUGUUAAAGCAUACUUGAGGUACACUCUCUGUCGGCAAAAAACUCGUCUGGGGGAUUUCACCAAGUACUUCCACGCCUUCUGUGCCCGUGUCUUCGGUGUCUUUUAUCGUAGGUGUUUGAUCCACUUUUGGAGCCAGCGGACCUUGAGGGGUUCCAAAAACAGUGGUAAAUAUCUGUCUAUGGCAUUCACCGCAGAGAUAAAAAUAGGUGAAAUGGCCCUCAUAUAAGAGCUUGUGCACCAUGGCAUCUGGUAG
This 35921-nucleotide long non-coding RNA is filed under the name Coffea arabica (coffee). RNAcentral's name for it is "long non-coding RNA (CARA_LNC000318)". The record is from RNAcentral. Lineage: Eukaryota; Viridiplantae; Streptophyta; Magnoliopsida; Gentianales; Rubiaceae.